Molecule: ribosomal RNA, 424 nt
Filed under: uncultured prokaryote
Description: bacterial SSU rRNA
Rfam family: Bacterial small subunit ribosomal RNA
Source: RNAcentral
UGGGGAAUAUUGGACAAUGGGGGAAACCCUGAUCCAGCAAUGCCGCGUGAGUGAUGAAGGCCUUAGGGUUGUAAAGCUCUUUUACCCGGGAUGAUAAUGACAGUACCGGGAGAAUAAGCUCCGGCUAACUCCGUGCCAGCAGCCGCGGUAAUACGGAGGGGGCAAGCGUUGUUCGGAUUUACUGGGCGUAAAGGGCGCGUAGGCGGGGUAUCAAGUUAGGGGUGAAAGCCCGGGGCUCAACCUCGGAACUGCCUUUAAAACUGAUACUCUAGAGUCCGGAAGAGGGUCGCGGAAUUCCCAGUGUAGAGGUGAAAUUCGUAGAUAUUGGGAAGAACACCGGUGGCGAAGGCGGCGACCUGGUCCGGUACUGACGCUGAGGCGCGAAAGCGUGGGGAGCAAACAGGAUUAGAUACCCGCGUAGUCC